This 347-nucleotide long non-coding RNA is filed under the name Mytilus galloprovincialis (Mediterranean mussel). The record is from RNAcentral. Lineage: Eukaryota; Metazoa; Mollusca; Bivalvia; Mytilida; Mytilidae.
GAAAGUCCCUUUCGUUUAAUGAAUUGUGGACAAACUAUACAUGCGACCCCCUAUAAAUAGCUGCAGAAAGUUAGCAUACUGCCGGGGCAACUAACUUAUAACACCAAAGUUGUGCUCAACCGAUAAACUCGCCGGUAUUUUUGAAAAAACGGAGAAAAUGAUAAGACUCAAUAACGUUAGCGGAGGUGUCAUUUUGUUAGCGUAAUCGUAAACACGCACACCUUAGGUUGACAGACGUUGCGGCCAUAAUAUUUGGGCCACCUAUAAAAAAUUGAUAUCGACUUGUAGCACAGGAACAGGGCAACAAAUUCAUACCCGUAGAUGUAUGCUUUGUUGUAACAACUUCC